GAGUUUUGAUCCUGGCUCAGGACGAACGCUGGCGGCACGCUUAACACAUGCAAGUCGAACGAGAGAAGAGGAGCUUGCUUUUCUGAUCUAGUGGCGGACGGGUGAGUAACACGUGAGCAAUCUGCCUUUCAGAGGGGGAUACCGAUUGGAAACGAUCGUUAAUACCGCAUAACAUAAUUGAACCGCAUGAUUUGAUUAUCAAAGAUUUAUCGCUGAAAGAUGAGCUCGCGUCUGAUUAGCUAGUUGGUAAGGUAACGGCUUACCAAGGCGACGAUCAGUAGCCGGACUGAGAGGUUGAUCGGCCACAUUGGGACUGAGACACGGCCCAGACUCCUACGGGAGGCAGCAGUGGGGAAUAUUGCACAAUGGAGGAAACUCUGAUGCAGCGAUGCCGCGUGAGGGAAGAAGGUUUUAGGAUUGUAAACCUCUGUCUUCAGGGACGAAAAAAGACGGUACCUGAGGAGGAAGCUCCGGCUAACUACGUGCCAGCAGCCGCGGUAAUACGUAGGGAGCGAGCGUUGUCCGGAAUUACUGGGUGUAAAGGGAGCGUAGGCGGGAUCGCAAGUCAGAUGUGAAAACUAUGGGCUUAACCCACAAACUGCAUUUGAAACUGUGGUUCUUGAGUGAAGUAGAGGUAAGCGGAAUUCCUAGUGUAGCGGUGAAAUGCGUAGAUAUUAGGAGGAACAUCAGUGGCGAAGGCGGCUUACUGGGCUUUAACUGACGCUGAGGCUCGAAAGCGUGGGGAGCAAACAGGAUUAGAUACCCUGGUAGUCCACGCCGUAAACGAUGAUUACUAGGUGUGGGGGGACUGACCCCUUCCGUGCCGCAGCAAACGCAAUAAGUAAUCCACCUGGGGAGUACGACCGCAAGGUUGAAACUCAAAGGAAUUGACGGGGGCCCGCACAAGCAGUGGAGUAUGUGGAUUAAUUCGAAGCAACGCGAAGAACCUUACCAGGUCUUGACAUCGUAUGCAUAGCUCAGAGAUGAGUGAAAUCUCUUCGGAGACAUAUAGACAGGUGGUGCAUGGUUGUCGUCAGCUCGUGUCGUGAGAUGUUGGGUUAAGUCCCGCAACGAGCGCAACCCUUACUGUUAGUUGCUACGCAAGAGCACUCUAGCAGGACUGCCGUUGACAAAACGGAGGAAGGUGGGGAUGACGUCAAAUCAUCAUGCCCCUUAUGACCUGGGCCUCACACGUACUACAAUGGCUGUCAACAGAGGGAAGCAAAGCCGCGAGGUGGAGCGAACCCCUAAAAGCAGUCUUAGUUCGGAUUGUAGGCUGCAACCCGCCUACAUGAAGUCGGAAUUGCUAGUAAUCGCAGAUCAGCAUGCUGCGGUGAAUACGUUCCCGGGCCUUGUACACACCGCCCGUCACGCCAUGGGAGUCGGUAACACCCGAAGCCUGUAGUCUAACCGCAAGGAGGACGCAGUCGAAGGUGGGAUUGAUGACUGGGGUGAAGUCGUAACAAGGUA
RNAcentral lists this ribosomal RNA (1470 nucleotides) under metagenome. RNAcentral describes it as "bacterial SSU rRNA". It matches the Rfam family "Bacterial small subunit ribosomal RNA". The record is from RNAcentral.